AUCUGGUUGAUCCUGCCUGAACUGAUGUGUUCAUUUCAAAGAUUAAGCCAUGCAUGUAUAAGUAUAACCUGCCAGACAGGGAAACUGCGUACGGCUCAUUACACCAGCCUUAAUUUACUUGACCUUGACAACCUACUUGGAUAACUGUGGUAAUUCUAGAGCUAAUACAUGCACCAAAGCUCCGAUCCCUUGCGGAGAGGAGCGCAUUUGUUCGCCACAAAACCAAGCGCCCUCACGGGCGUUCAGUGUUGACUCAGAAUAACUAAGCUGAUCGCACGGUCUUGCACCGGCGACGUGUCUUUCAAGUGUCUGCCUUAUCAACUUUCGAUGGUAGUGUACCUGACUACCAUGGUGAUGACGGGUAACGGAGGAUCAGGGUUCGACUCCGGAGAAGGGGCCUGAGAAAUGGCCACUACGUCUAAGGAUGGCAGCAGGCGCGCAAAUUACCCACUCUCAACGCGAGGAGGUAGUGACGAGAAAUAACGAGACCGUUCUCACAAGAGGCCGGUCAUCGGAAUGGGUACAACACAAACCCUUUAACGAGUAUCUAUGAGAGGGCAAGUCUGGUGCCAGCAGCCGCGGUAAUUCCAGCUCUCAAAAUGCAUAGAAUUAUUGCUGCGGUUAAAAAGCUCGUAGUUGGAUCUGUGCUGGUCGCCCGGUCCACCCUCUGCGGUGCGCACUGGUGCGGCUGGCUUUCCUGUCCGCUUCCUCACCGGCGUUGGCCUUCAUCGGCAGGCGUCGGCGGGCGGACGAGUUUACUUUGAACAAAUCAGAGUGCUUCACACAGGCGUUUCGCUUGAAUGUUCGUGCAUGGAAUAAUAGAAGAGGAUUUCGGUCCGAUUUUAUUGGUUUUGCUGACCGAGAUAAUGGUUAACAGAGACAAACGGGGCCAUUCGUAUUGCUACGUGAGAGGUGAAAUUCUUGGACCGUAGCAAGACGGACUACAGCGAAAGCAUUUGGCAAGAAUGUCUUCAUUAAUCAAGAACGAAAGUCAGAGGUUCGAAGGCGAUCAGAUACCGCCCUAGUUCUGACCGUAAACGAUGCCAACUAGCGAUCCGCCGGCGGAUUCAUUCGCCCUGGUGGGGAGCUUCCCGGAAACGAAAGUCUUCCGGUUCCGGGGGAAGUAUGGUUGCAAAGCUGAAACUUAAAGGAAUUGACGGAAGGGCACCACCAGGAGUGGAGCCUGCGGCUUAAUUUGACUCAACACGGGGAAACUCACCCGGCCCGGACACCGUAAGGAUUGACAGAUUGAUAGCUUUUUCAUGAUUCGGUGGAUGGUGGUGCAUGGCCGUUCUUAGUUCGUGGAGCGAUUUGUCUGGUUUAUUCCGAUAACGAGCGAGACUCUGGCCUACUAAAUAGUUGGCGCAUUGUCACUGUGCGUACAACUUCUUAGAGGGAUUUUCGGUGUUCAGCCGCACGAAAUUGAGCAAUAACAGGUCUGUGAUGCCCUUAGAUGUCCGGGGCUGCACGCGCGCUACACUGGCAAAAUCAGCGUGCUUGUCCUUCCCCGAAAGGGGUUGGUAAACCCGUGAAAAUUUGCCGUGAUUGGGAUCGGACAUUGCAAUUAUUGUCCGUGAACGAGGAAUUCCUUGUAGGGGCGAGUCAUCAACUCGCUCUGAAUACGUCCCUGCCCUUUGUACACACCGCCCGUCGCUGCCCGGGACUGAGCCAUUUCGAGAAACUUGGGGACCAACGACUUGACGACUCUCGGGUCGCCUCGUUGCUGGAAACCAAUUUAAUCGCAGUGGCUUGAACCGGGCAAAAGUCGUAACAAGGUAGCUGUAGGUGAACCUGCUGCUGGAUCAUUA
This 1808-nucleotide ribosomal RNA is filed under the name Rotylenchus goodeyi. Its description in RNAcentral is "SSU rRNA". It matches the Rfam family "Eukaryotic small subunit ribosomal RNA". Lineage: Eukaryota; Metazoa; Nematoda; Chromadorea; Rhabditida; Hoplolaimidae. The record is from RNAcentral.